This 253-nucleotide ribosomal RNA is filed under the name uncultured bacterium. RNAcentral's name for it is "partial 16S ribosomal RNA". It matches the Rfam family "Bacterial small subunit ribosomal RNA", at positions 524 to 776 of the family's 1533-position model. The record is from RNAcentral.
UACGAAGGGGGCUAGCGUUGCUCGGAAUCACUGGGCGUAAAGGGUGCGUAGGCGGUUCGUUAAGUCUGUUGUGAAAUCCCCGGGCUCAACCUGGGAAUGGCAAUGGAUACUGGCGGGCUAGAGUGUGUCAGAGGAUGGUGGAAUUCCCGGUGUAGCGGUGAAAUGCGUAGAGAUCGGGAGGAACAUCAGUGGCGAAGGCGGCCAUCUGGGACAACACUGACGCUGAAGCACGAAAGCGUGGGGAGCAAACAGG